This 131-nucleotide ribosomal RNA is filed under the name Echinostoma caproni. Lineage: Eukaryota; Metazoa; Platyhelminthes; Trematoda; Plagiorchiida; Echinostomatidae. The record is from RNAcentral.
GGCCGCAACCACACCACGUUAGAAAUACCGGUUCUCCUCUGAUCACCGAAGUUAAGCAACGUCGGGCCCGGUGAGCACUUACCUCCGAAAGCCUCAGUAUGGUCGGGGGUGGGUGUAAAGGGUUGCGGCUG